UUAGCACACCAUUAAAGCCGGGCACUGAUGUCGGUGUUUCGGUGUCGGAAGUGUGCGAGAGUGACUCGGCCGGGUUUUCGCUAACAUCAGUAGGACGGCUGUCCCAUGACUGGAGUUUGAUAGUGACCUGCGCCACAGUU
Small nucleolar RNA from Labrus bergylta (ballan wrasse), 140 nucleotides. The record is from Ensembl. Lineage: Eukaryota; Metazoa; Chordata; Actinopteri; Labriformes; Labridae.